GCUUGAAUAGUUUAAUGAAGAUGUUGCUUUGUGGGAGUAUAAGAUGCUGUUGUGGCUUUGAGUG
This 64-nucleotide transfer RNA is filed under the name Ricinoides karschii. Its description in RNAcentral is "tRNA-His". The record is from RNAcentral. Lineage: Eukaryota; Metazoa; Arthropoda; Arachnida; Ricinulei; Ricinoididae.